GACAAUAUGCACUAAUAUUAACCAAAAUAGACCGCAACACACUGAAUGGGAACACACCAAAAUUUUAAUUAGCCUUGAUUCACGAUUUAGUCAUUGAAGUAUACCCUUUUUUCCAUUUUAGUACUUAAAAUUUUUAGUCCCAAUUUUAUAUCUAAAGUAUCAAUUUCUUCUAUUUUUGGUCCAUUUUGUAACAGAGGUUAAAGAAAAACUAGUAGACAACUUUGGUCAAUGAAAAAGUAUCACAUGGCG
RNAcentral lists this long non-coding RNA (249 nucleotides) under Gossypium barbadense (sea-island cotton). RNAcentral's name for it is "long non-coding RNA (GBAR_LNC005209)". Lineage: Eukaryota; Viridiplantae; Streptophyta; Magnoliopsida; Malvales; Malvaceae. The record is from RNAcentral.